RNAcentral lists this long non-coding RNA (268 nucleotides) under Brassica napus (rape). RNAcentral's name for it is "long non-coding RNA (BNAP_LNC023380)". Lineage: Eukaryota; Viridiplantae; Streptophyta; Magnoliopsida; Brassicales; Brassicaceae. The record is from RNAcentral.
AUCAGGGUCGUUACACAGCCAUUAAAAUUUUAUCUUUAGACUAAUAACUAGAAACAAAAUAUAAAACUUCAUCUAACAGAAAAAAACUUUUAAAUUGUAAAACUUUCUAAAACCUUUUACCAAAAUAAAAUUAAAAUCAAUAUUAAAUCAUUAGGAAAAAUGAAAUAUUUUGUUUGCUAUACUUUUGAAAUUCAUUAUUACUCCCUCAUAUACUAACUCAUACCAUUAACUAUCUUUUUGGGAUAAACCAAUAAACUUAAAAAAAAAA